RNAcentral lists this ribosomal RNA (210 nucleotides) under uncultured bacterium. Its description in RNAcentral is "partial 16S ribosomal RNA". It matches the Rfam family "Bacterial small subunit ribosomal RNA", at positions 1283 to 1500 of the family's 1533-position model. The record is from RNAcentral.
CGUUCUCAGUUCGGAUCGGAGUCUGNAACCCGACUCCGUGAAGCUGGAUUCGCUAGUAAUCGCGCAUCAGCCAUGGCGCGGUGAAUACGUUCCCGGGCCUUGUACACACCGCCCGUCAAGCCAUGGGAGCCGGGGGUGCUUGAAGUGCGUCGCCGCAAGGCGCGCCCUAGAGCAAAACCGGUGACUGGGGCUAAGUCGUAACAAGGUAUC